AGAGUUUGAUCCUGGCUCAGGAUGAACGCUGGCGGCGUGCCUAAUACAUGCAAGUCGAGCGAACGGACGAGAAGCUUGCUUCUCUGAUGUUAGCGGCGGACGGGUGAGUAACACGUGGAUAACCUACCUAUAAGACUGGGAUAACUUCGGGAAACCGGAGCUAAUACCGGAUAAUAUUUUGAACCGCAUGGUUCAAAAGUGAAAGACGGUCUUGCUGUCACUUAUAGAUGGAUCCGCGCUGCAUUAGCUAGUUGGUAAGGUAACGGCUUACCAAGGCAACGAUGCAUAGCCGACCUGAGAGGGUGAUCGGCCACACUGGAACUGAGACACGGUCCAGACUCCUACGGGAGGCAGCAGUAGGGAAUCUUCCGCAAUGGGCGAAAGCCUGACGGAGCAACGCCGCGUGAGUGAUGAAGGUCUUCGGAUCGUAAAACUCUGUUAUUAGGGAAGAACAUAUGUGUAAGUAACUGUGCACAUCUUGACGGUACCUAAUCAGAAAGCCACGGCUAACUACGUGCCAGCAGCCGCGGUAAUACGUAGGUGGCAAGCGUUAUCCGGAAUUAUUGGGCGUAAAGCGCGCGUAGGCGGUUUUUUAAGUCUGAUGUGAAAGCCCACGGCUCAACCGUGGAGGGCCAUUGGAAACUGGAAAACUUGAGUGCAGAAGAGGAAAGUGGAGUUCCAUGUGUAGCGGUGAAAUGCGCAGAGAUAUGGAGGAACACCAGUGGCGAAGGCGACUUUCUGGUCUGUAACUGACGCUGAUGUGCGAAAGCGUGGGGAUCAAACAGGAUUAGAUACCCUGGUAGUCC
This 806-nucleotide ribosomal RNA is filed under the name uncultured bacterium. RNAcentral describes it as "bacterial SSU rRNA". It matches the Rfam family "Bacterial small subunit ribosomal RNA", at positions 8 to 796 of the family's 1533-position model. The record is from RNAcentral.